AUUGAACGCUGGCGGCAGGCCUAACACAUGCAAGUCGAGCGAGCGGCGGACGGGUGAGUAAUGUCUGGGAAACUGCCUGAUGGAGGGGGAUAACUACUGGAAACGGUAGCUAAUACCGCAUACCAUCAGAUGUGCCCAGAUGGGAUUAGCUAGUAGGUGGGGUAAUGGCUCACCUAGGGGACGAGCCCUAGCUGGUCUGAGAGGGUGACCAGCCACACUGGAACUUGGCCACGGUCAAGAUGCCUACGGGAGGCAGCAGGGGGGACUUUGGCACAAUGGGCGCAAGCCUGAUGCAGCCAUGCCGCGUGUAUGAAGAAGGCCUUCGGGUUGUAAAGUACUUUCAGCGGGGAGGCGGUACCCGCAGAAGAAGCACCGGCUAACUCCGUGCCAGCAGCCGCGGUAAUAC
This 406-nucleotide ribosomal RNA is filed under the name uncultured bacterium. RNAcentral describes it as "partial 16S ribosomal RNA". It matches the Rfam family "Bacterial small subunit ribosomal RNA", at positions 29 to 526 of the family's 1533-position model. The record is from RNAcentral.